GUGCCAGCAGCCGCGGUAAUACCGGCAGCCCGAGUGAUGGCCGAUCUUAUUGGGCCUAAAGCGUCCGUAGCUGGGUCUGAAAGUCCAUCGGGAAAUCCACUCGCUCAACGAGUGGGCGUCCGACGGAAACUGCACAGCUUGGGACCGGAAGGCUCGAAGGGUACGUUCGGGGUAGGAGUGAAAUCCUAUAAUCCUGCACGGACCACCGAUGGCGAAAGCACUUCGAGAAAACGGAUCCGACAGUGAGGGACGAAAGCCAGGGUCUCCAACCGGAUUAGAAACCCUAGUAGUCC
RNAcentral lists this ribosomal RNA (293 nucleotides) under uncultured bacterium. Its description in RNAcentral is "partial 16S ribosomal RNA". It matches the Rfam family "Archaeal small subunit ribosomal RNA", at positions 455 to 747 of the family's 1478-position model. The record is from RNAcentral.